CCUACGGGAGGCAGCAGUAGGGAAUAUUGGACAAUGGGCGCAAGCCUGAUCCAGCCAUGCCGCGUGAGUGAAGAAGGCCUUCGGGUUGUAAAGCUCUUUUGUCCGGAAAGAAAAGCAUCCGGUUAAUACCUGUUUGUCCUGACGGUACCGGAAGAAUAAGCACCGGCUAACUUCGUGCCAGCAGCCGCGGUAAUACGAAGGGUGCAAGCGUUACUCGGAAUUACUGGGCGUAAAGCGUGCGUAGGUGGUUUGUUAAGUCUGAUGUGAAAGCCCUGGGCUCAACCUGGGAAUGGCAUUGGAUACUGGCAGGCUAGAGUGCGGUAGAGGGUAGUGGAAUUCCCGGUGUAGCAGUGAAAUGCGUAGAGAUCGGGAGGAACAUCUGUGGCGAAGGCGACUACCUGGACCAGCACUGACACUGAGGCACGAAAGCGUGGGGAGCAAACAGGAUUAGAUACCCU
Molecule: ribosomal RNA, 458 nt
Filed under: Thermomonas carbonis
Lineage: Bacteria; Pseudomonadati; Pseudomonadota; Gammaproteobacteria; Lysobacterales; Lysobacteraceae
Description: bacterial SSU rRNA
Rfam family: Bacterial small subunit ribosomal RNA
Source: RNAcentral